GUGCCAGCAGCCGCGGUAAUACGUAGGGNNNNAGCGUUAUCCGGAAUUAUUGGGCGUAAAGAGCUCGUAGGCGGUUUGUCGCGUCUGCUGUGAAAUCUGGAGGCUCAACCUCCAGCCUGCAGUGGGUACGGGCAGACUAGAGUGCGGUAGGGGAGAUUGGAAUUCCUGGUGUAGCGGUGGAAUGCGCAGAUAUCAGGAGGAACACCGAUGGCGAAGGCAGAUCUCUGGGCCGUAACUGACGCUGAGGAGCGAAAGGGUGGGGAGCGAACAGGCUUAGAUACCCUGGUAGUCCACCCCGUAAACGUUGGGAACUAGUUGUGGGGGCCUUUCCACGGUCUCCGUGACGCAGCUAACGCAUUAAGUUCCCCGCCUGGGGAGUACGGCCGCAAGGCUAAAACUCAAAGGAAUUGACGGGGACCCGCACAAGCGGCGGAGCAUGCGGAUUAAUUCGAUGCAACGCGAAGAACCUUACCAAGGCUUGACAUAUACCGGAAAAGGCUGGAAACAGUCUCCCCCUUGUGGUCGGUAUACAGGUGGUGCAUGGUUGUCGUCAGCUCGUGUCGUGAGAUGUUGGGUUAAGUCCCGCAACGAGCGCAACCCUCGUUCUAUGUUGCCAGCACGUUAUGGUGGGAACUCAUGGGAUACUGCCGGGGUCAACUCGGAGGAAGGUGGGGAUGACGUCAAAUCAUCAUGCCCCUUAUGUCUUGGGCUUCACGCAUGCUACAAUGGGCGGUACAAAGGGCUGCGAUACCGUAAGGUGGAGCGAAUCCCAAAAAGCCGGUCCCAGUUCGGAUUGAGGUCUGCAACUCGACCUCAUGAAGUCGGAGUCGCUAGUAAUCNCAGANCAGCAACGCUGCGGUGAAUACGUUCCCGGGNCUUGUACACACCGCCCGU
This 894-nucleotide ribosomal RNA is filed under the name uncultured bacterium. RNAcentral's name for it is "bacterial SSU rRNA". It matches the Rfam family "Bacterial small subunit ribosomal RNA", at positions 505 to 1397 of the family's 1533-position model. The record is from RNAcentral.